GCCCGCCUAGCUCAAUCGGCCAGAGCGUCAGACUUUUACGGAGGGCUUUCCCACGGGCAUCUGAAGGCUGCGAGUUCGACCCUCGCGGUGGGCU
This is a non-coding RNA of Tricholoma furcatifolium, 94 nucleotides long. The record is from the annotation of a GenBank genome assembly. Lineage: Eukaryota; Fungi; Basidiomycota; Agaricomycetes; Agaricales; Tricholomataceae.